Molecule: long non-coding RNA, 1328 nt
Filed under: Nicotiana tabacum (common tobacco)
Lineage: Eukaryota; Viridiplantae; Streptophyta; Magnoliopsida; Solanales; Solanaceae
Description: long non-coding RNA (NTAB_LNC014637)
Source: RNAcentral
GUGUCCGCUGUUAUCUCUGGCGUUUCGGAUGCCGCUGCCGCCACUGACUCUGUUAUGUCCCGCGAUGAUGCCGUAAAUCGACUCAAUUCACUUGUUCCAGGUUGCAGGGGGCUUAAACGGGAGUACUUAGAGUUAGAGUAACUUAAUUAUGAUUUUUCUGUUCUACUGUAUUAAGUUUGGAUAAAGGAACCGAAACUUCGAUCACACACAAAACAGACACACACACACACACACUCAAAUCGAAGGUACUGAGUAGCUCAAUCAUAUUUUCUUACAGUAUAAGAUUGGACGAAUGAAGCGAAACUUCUUCUCAAAAAACAAAUAGACACACGUGUGUGUAUCAUAUUAAUAUUACCGUAUAAGAGUGGAUAUUGGAUCAAGGAAGCAACUUUUCUCUGUGUAUUGUGUGUGUGUAUCAUAUUAACAGCAAUAACAUACCCACUAUAGUCACACAAGCGGGGUCUGGGGAGGGUAGAGUGUUGCGGUAGACCCUUGGUUCAGGAAAAUUUUCAUAUGGUUGUGUUACCAUAAUAGGCAGCUCCCACUAGCUGUGUGUAUCAUAUUAUAUUACUGUAUAAAAUUGGAGAUUGGAUUGGGUGUGUUAGCAAUUAAAAAAAAGAUUGGAGAUUGGAUGAAGAAAGCAAAACUUUUCUCUAUGUAUUGUGUGUUUGUGUAUAUGUGUGUCUGUAUCAUAUUAUAUUACUGUACAAGAGUGGAUAUUGGAUCAAAGAAGCAAAACUUAUCUCUAGGUACUUUUUUUUUUUUUGUGUGUGUGUGUGUGUCUGUUAGAGAGUGUGUGUGAAUUUCAGUUCUUAAUUGGAUGUUGAGAUGUAUCACAUAUGCUCAUUCAGUUUUCAGCUAGUAUUCAAAAGUGAUUAAUCUGUUUGUAAGGUUAAUAACAGUCAAAUAUGAAAUUCUUGGUUUUGUAUUGUGAGAACAAUCAUUUUAUUGUAUAAGAUUGGAUAAAGCAAGAGAAACAUCUAUAUGUGUGUCUAAUUUCUCUAUUUUUUGCUGAAUAUUGGAUCCUGAAAUGUAUCCCAAUUUGCUCAUUUAGUUUAUCGGCUAGUCUAAUAUGUUUGAAAAGCUAAAUUCAACUCAACACAAAGCUUUGAAAAGCUUCAGUCAUCCUUUGAUCAGUUGAAAAUGAGGUAACAUAUGGUUUUAUAUUGUGUCAACAAUCAGUUGGAAGAGGGGAGUCGAAUAGAGAACCUGCAAGCGCAAAGAUGCAGAGCACGGCUAGAUCAUCUAGAAUCUGCUGAUCCAGAAAAUUUAUCAGAUUGGAAUGAUACCCGUUUGAAGCGGAUACUGGUAGAUUACAUGUUGCGGAU